ACAAGCGGUGGAGCAUGUGGUUAAUUCGAUGCAACGCGAAGAACCUUACCUGGUCUUGACAUCCCGGAGACCCUUAGGAAACUAGGGGUGCUUCCAUCUGGAAGAAUCUGGAGACAGGUGCUGCAUGGCUGUCGUCAGCUCGUGUCGUGAGAUGUUGGGUUAAGUCCCGCAACGAGCGCAACCCUUGCCUUUAGUUGCCAGCAGUUCGGCUGGGCACUCUAAAGGGACUGCCGGUGUUAAACCGGAGGAAGGUGGGGAUGACGUCAAGUCCUCAUGGCCUUUAUGACCAGGGCUACACACGUACUACAAUGGCCGAUACAAAGGGCAGCGACACUGCGAGGUGAAGCCAAUCCCGUAAAAUCGGUCUCAGUCCGGAUUGGAGUCUGCAACUCGACUCCAUGAAGUUGGAAUCGCUAGUAAUCGUGGAUCAGCAUGCCACGGUGAAUACGUUCCCGGGCCUU
RNAcentral lists this ribosomal RNA (461 nucleotides) under uncultured Desulfobulbus sp. RNAcentral's name for it is "bacterial SSU rRNA". It matches the Rfam family "Bacterial small subunit ribosomal RNA", at positions 925 to 1382 of the family's 1533-position model. Lineage: Bacteria; Pseudomonadati; Thermodesulfobacteriota; Desulfobulbia; Desulfobulbales; Desulfobulbaceae. The record is from RNAcentral.